AUUGAACGCUGGCGGCAGGCCUAACACAUGCAAGUCGAACGGUAACAGGAAGCAGCUUGCUGCUUUGCUGACGAGUGGCGGACGGGUGAGUAAUGUCUGUGAAACUGCCCGAUGGAGGGGGAUAACUACUGGAAACGGUAGCUAAUACCGCAUAACGUCGCAAGACCAAAGAGGGGGACCUUAGGGCCUCUUGCCAUCGGCUGUGCCCAGAUGGGAUUAGCUAGUAGGUGGGGUAACGGCUCACCUAGGCGACGAUCCCUAGCUGGUCUGAGAGGAUGACCAGCCACACUGGAACUGAGACACGGUCCAGACUCCUACGGGAGGCAGCAGUGGGGAAUAUUGCACAAUGGGCGCAAGCCUGAUGCAGCCAUGCCGCGUGUAUGAAGAAGGCCUUCGGGUUGUAAAGUACUUUCAGCGGGGAGGAAGGGAGUAAAGUUAAUACCUUUGCUCAUUGACGUUACCCGAAGAAGAAGCACCGGCUAACUCCGUG
Molecule: ribosomal RNA, 490 nt
Filed under: uncultured bacterium
Lineage: Bacteria
Description: partial 16S ribosomal RNA
Rfam family: Bacterial small subunit ribosomal RNA
Source: RNAcentral